UAGGUAGUGUAUUUCCAAGCAAGUAUCUGACGAUAUUGAAGCUCUACUGGUUGUCUGCUACUCCCACCAACAAUAUUGCACAGGCGGAAAACGUAUAAUUUUCUAUCUUAAGAAAAUAUAAAAA
RNAcentral lists this long non-coding RNA (124 nucleotides) under Polistes fuscatus (common paper wasp). RNAcentral's name for it is "uncharacterized LOC122523055". Lineage: Eukaryota; Metazoa; Arthropoda; Insecta; Hymenoptera; Vespidae. The record is from RNAcentral.